AGAGUUUGAUCAUGGCUCAGGAUGAACGCUAGCGGCAGGCCUAAUACAUGCAAGUCGAACGCUCAGUAGCAAUACUGGGAGUGGCGCACGGGUGCGUAACGCGUACACAAUCUACCUCUAAGCGGGGGACACCUCCUGGAAACGGGGAUUAAUACCGCAUAAUAUGCCGAAGUCGCAUGACUUUGGUAUUAAAGCAGCAAUGCACUUAGAGAUGAGUGUGCGUCCCAUUAGGUAGUUGGUGAGGUAACGGCUCACCAAGCCUAUGAUGGGUAGCCGGUCUGAGAGGAUGGUCGGCCACACGGGCACUGAGACACGGGCCCGACUCCUACGGGAGGCAGCAGUAAGGAAUAUUGGUCAAUGGUGGAAACGCUGAACCAGCCAUGCCGCGUGGAGGAAUAAGGUCCUACGGAUUGUAAACUCCUUUUGACGAGGAAGAAAAUGUUAGAUUUAUCUAAUUUUGACGGUACUCGUAGAAUAAGCACCGGCUAACUCCGUG
RNAcentral lists this ribosomal RNA (496 nucleotides) under uncultured bacterium. RNAcentral's name for it is "bacterial SSU rRNA". It matches the Rfam family "Bacterial small subunit ribosomal RNA", at positions 8 to 507 of the family's 1533-position model. The record is from RNAcentral.